RNAcentral lists this ribosomal RNA (253 nucleotides) under uncultured bacterium. RNAcentral describes it as "partial 16S ribosomal RNA". It matches the Rfam family "Bacterial small subunit ribosomal RNA", at positions 524 to 776 of the family's 1533-position model. The record is from RNAcentral.
UACAGAGGUGGCAAGCGUUGUUCGGAAUUACUGGGCGUAAAGGGCGCGUAGGCGGCCUUCUAAGUCAGACGUGAAAUCCCCAGGCUUAACUUGGGAACUGCGUCUGAUACUGGGAGGCUUGAGUGCGGGAGAGGGAUGUGGAAUUCCAGGUGUAGCGGUGAAAUGCGUAGAUAUCUGGAGGAACACCGGUGGCGAAGGCGGCAUCCUGGACCGACACUGACGCUGAGGCGCGAAAGCUAGGGGAGCAAACGGG